Non-coding RNA from Megalopta genalis, 1458 nucleotides. Lineage: Eukaryota; Metazoa; Arthropoda; Insecta; Hymenoptera; Halictidae. The record is from RefSeq and is a predicted model, not a curated record.
ACUAUUCAGUUAGUCAGUCAACUCAGCUUCAGUCAACUACAGUAGACUCCUGCUCACGCUAGUCUACUACUCAGAUAAUCUUUCAACCUUCGACCAUCGAAUUGAAUGCUUUACAGUGCUUCAAUUCAUUCUUCAAUUCAUUCUUCAAAAUUAAAACAGCUGUUCAUCUUUAAUUAGACGAAGAGCGAUACUAAUCAAUUCCGUCGCUUAGCGUAAUCGGUCUUACAACCCGAGAGAUUUUGUAAUCAUGGAGUUUUAGUAUCGGCUGUACUCGCUGUGCAUCCUACACAUUUUUAAUUGUAAUUAUUAAAUAUUUUGGAUAUUCGCGCAGUGCGAAGGAAAUGCCGCUGCGACUGUGAGGAGAUUACGGGAAGAAUUCCCAAAUUUGAAUACACCGACGGAAUAUGCCGUACGGACAUUGGCGCAACGCUUUUAUUCCCGCGGCAUCUCAAUAGCAGGAAGAUCAUUUUCUGCACGAACCCUCCGAUCGGGAAAUGACGUACAAUAAUAGAGGAGGACGGCACCGAGAGUGUACGAGGAAUCAGUCGCCGCUUGGGCAGUACUACCGUGCACCGUAUCCUACAGGACAAUUCUCUGCACCCAUACAAAUUCAUACGUGUGCAGGAAUUACUGGACACUGACUUUGAUCAACGGAUUCAAUAUUCAAGGUGGCUGUUGCGAGAAGUAGCGCGAAAUCCAUCGUUCUGCAAAUACAUUUUAUGGACAGCUGAAGCACUCUUCGCAAGAGAAGGGUGUUCCGCUUCGGUCACACCAUGCGCAGGUUCGCUUCUCGGUUAAUGGCAUGGGCCGGAAUUUGUGGCAAUUUUAUCGUUGGGCCGUACAUCCUUCCUAACAGGUUGGACUGUUCAGCGUAUAAAAUUUUUUUUAAAACAUGUUCUGCCAGAGCUUUUGGAAUGCAUUCCUUUGGAGUUCCGGCAGAACAUGUUUUAUCAAAUGGACGGGGCUCCCGCCCAUUUCGCCACAGAAGUUCGCGUCCAUCUGGACGAAACCUUUCGAGACAGAUGGAUCGGCCGUGGCGGACCUGUGCCGUGGCCCCCACGGUCAUCCGAUUUGAAUCCGUUGGAUUUUUAUUUUUGGGGACAUUUAAAGGAUGCGGUGUACAAGUCCCCCACGGUCACCCGAUUUGAAUCCGUUGGAUUUUUAUUUUUGGGGACAUUUAAAGGUAAUUUUAGCAAUGAACGUUUUCAAAUUAUUAUCGCAUUUUUUUACCGUUUCUUUAGAUUAAUUUUGUCUACUUCUAGGAUGCGGUGUACAAAGAAGCGAUGAACAGCGCCGAUGAAAUAGUAAUGAGAAUGCACGGCAGCUGUUGCAACGAUAACUCUCCUGAAACAUUAGAAGAAGUCAGUAAAAUAUCUAUAUCGAUUGUGUACUUAUUUUACUCUAUAGAUGUUUUGAUGAUUAAAUAAAGAAAGACGAUUUAAAAGUUAAUAAACAUUA